This 181-nucleotide ribosomal RNA is filed under the name Neonectria lugdunensis. RNAcentral describes it as "5.8S ribosomal RNA". The stretch from base 15 to 168 matches the Rfam family "5.8S ribosomal RNA". From Rfam's summary of the family: 5.8S ribosomal RNA (5.8S rRNA) is a component of the large subunit of the eukaryotic ribosome. It is transcribed by RNA polymerase I as part of the 45S precursor that also contains 18S and 28S rRNA. Lineage: Eukaryota; Fungi; Ascomycota; Sordariomycetes; Hypocreales; Nectriaceae. The record is from RNAcentral.
AUUAAAUAAAUCAAAACUUUCAACAACGGAUCUCUUGGUUCUGGCAUCGAUGAAGAACGCAGCGAAAUGCGAUAAGUAAUGUGAAUUGCAGAAUUCAGUGAAUCAUCGAAUCUUUGAACGCACAUUGCGCCCGCCAGUAUUCUGGCGGGCAUGCCUGUUCGAGCGUCAUUUCAACCCUCAA